UGAGAUAAUCCGAAUGCUGGUCGGAUUCACUGGAAGGAGAAAAAGGUCGUGCGGCAACAAGGAUGACCAUAUCGCCUUGAGCACGACAACGUAUAUAGUGUGGCAAAGGGAACAGAAGUAUGAAGUACAUGUUCGCCUAACCAGCUUCAUCGGACACUUGGAGUCGGAACGUCUUGCUAGAGACCGCUACCCACUAGCCGAGUUAGACGUGGUCUGAAUCGCGACCAAGUGAACGAGAACCUAAAGGGUCGCGCACUUAAAGGAAGG
RNAcentral lists this long non-coding RNA (267 nucleotides) under Hordeum vulgare. Its description in RNAcentral is "long non-coding RNA (HVUL_LNC003156)". The record is from RNAcentral. Lineage: Eukaryota; Viridiplantae; Streptophyta; Magnoliopsida; Poales; Poaceae.